This 31-nucleotide non-coding RNA is filed under the name Mus musculus (house mouse). The record is from RNAcentral. Lineage: Eukaryota; Metazoa; Chordata; Mammalia; Rodentia; Muridae.
UCAUCGGUGUCAUUAAUGAAAGGGUGGAUGU